UACGGAGGGUGCAAGCGUUGUUCGGAUUUAUUGGGCGUAAAGCGCGUGUAGGCGGUUUUGUAGGUCUGAUGUGAAAGCCCCGGGCUCAACCUGGGAAGUGCAUUGGAAACUGCAGGACUUGAAUACGGGAGAGGGUAGUGGAAUUCCUAGUGUAGGAGUGAAAUCCGUAGAUAUUAGGAGGAACACCGGUGGCGAAGGCGGCUACCUGGACCCAUAUUGACGCUGAGACGCGAAAGCGUGGGUAGCAAACCGG
This 253-nucleotide ribosomal RNA is filed under the name uncultured bacterium. RNAcentral's name for it is "partial 16S ribosomal RNA". It matches the Rfam family "Bacterial small subunit ribosomal RNA", at positions 524 to 776 of the family's 1533-position model. The record is from RNAcentral.